GUGCUUGCCUCAGCAGCACAUAUUCUAAAAUUAGAACAAUACAGAAAACAUUGGUAUGGUCCCUGAGCAAGGAUAACAUGAAAAUUUGUGAAGAAAUUUAUUUUACU
Small nuclear RNA from Sarcophilus harrisii (Tasmanian devil), 107 nucleotides. The record is from Ensembl. Lineage: Eukaryota; Metazoa; Chordata; Mammalia; Dasyuromorphia; Dasyuridae.